This is a long non-coding RNA of Hyaena hyaena (striped hyena), 601 nucleotides long. RefSeq lists it as uncharacterized. The transcript is spliced from 2 exons. NCBI's taxonomy places the organism in Eukaryota, Metazoa, Chordata, Mammalia, Carnivora, Hyaenidae. The record is from RefSeq and is a predicted model, not a curated record.
GGCCCACAGGCUUCCCAAAUCUCGCGUGAUCACGUGGUGGCCACACAGGCGGAAGUGUCCGACAGCUUUUUUGGGGUGUUCCUGGGUCUCUCUGAGCUGGAAGAGCUAAGAAAUACGGAAGGAUCGCUGCCGGCUGCCUCGCUAGCAAUGGCUGCGGAGGAGGACCAGUCACGUGAUCUCGCUUCCGGCCCCGGGCGCUCUCGGACUCCGGUCCGAGUUUUAAAUGCGGAGUCAUCUCAGGGAGUGAACUAGUCUUGUACUUAGAGCUCCGAGGCUUUCGAUUUCCUUGUGGAGGGUGGGCCCAUCGCCUGAAAAAUUGUGUACGUGUUUCUAAAGAGGAGGAAAGUGGAUUUGAGCCCACUGUUAACACAGUCUAUGAUUAGUAACCCCUGAAACUGGCUGAGUGGUCCCCACCGGUAGAGCUAAGUCUCUGGGUUUUAGUUCCUUCAAGGUUCGGCCACCUAGUAGACCGUGUACUUUAAGUGAUUUAUUACGGCAGUGGAAUUGCCAAAAACACAACAACAACAAAACACAAGCCACCGGAUUAUGACAGCUCGAUAACGCUCCCCCCUCCGUUUUUUUUUUUUUUUUAAAAUACUGC